This 3280-nucleotide long non-coding RNA is filed under the name Canis lupus familiaris (dog). RNAcentral's name for it is "lncRNA (ENSCAFG00000058357.1)". The record is from RNAcentral. Lineage: Eukaryota; Metazoa; Chordata; Mammalia; Carnivora; Canidae.
UGAGAGACACACAGAGAGGGAGAGGCAGAGACACAGGUAAAGGGAGAAGCAGGCUCCCCUGACUUGGGACUCGAUCCCAGGUCUCCAGGAUCACACCCUGGGCUGAAGGCAGUGCUAAACCGCUGAGCCACCUGGGCUGCCCUUAAUUUUUAAAUUUAAAUUUAAUUUAUUUUUAAAAAUUAUUUGAGAAAGAGAGAGCAAGAGGGGAGGGACAGAGAGAGAAAGAGAGAGAGAGAGAAUCUUAAGCAGGCUCUGCUGGUGCAAUGUGGGGUUUGAUCUCAUGACUCUAAGAUCAUGACCCGAGCUGAAAUCAAGAGUUGAAUGCUUAACUGACUGAGCCACCCAGGCACCCCUAUUUUAUUUAUUAUUUUUAAAGAUUAAAAAAAACUAAUCUCUACACUUAACGUGGGGCUCAAACUCACAAUCCUAAGAUCAAGAGUCACAUGCUGUACCAAUUGAGUCUGCCAGGUGCCACUGUUUAAAUAUAUUUUAAAAUAUGACAUUUUAGCUUAAAAUGACCUUUAGCAUUUAAAAAUAAUUAAAAGUACAUUUUAAAUUUUUAUAAAAAGCAGAAGUUCAGUUAGCUGAGAGUAGGGAAGAUGCCUCCUGGAAUAACAGGUAGAAUGUAAAGUACAAAUGAAAGUGUUAGUGUGGGAUAAGACAGAUUUAUAGUAAAACAGGCUUCAGGGCGUUCAGGAAGUAUGGAAAAUUUCAGGUUUCCUCCUACAAUCCUCCAAAUGGCUGAGUUAGCUUGUGCUAUUCUCCUCAAAUUUGCAAUAUAACCAAACGGUGGAGAUAGUAAAUAGUCACUGAGCAAAAUACUUGUAUUUUUUUAAAUUAUGCUCUGAGUUAUAGAUCAUCCUUCCAAAGACAAACCAUGUGAAUAUUAGUAAUAUUCCUAUUAGCUAAUAGACUAUUUUAAUAAAACUUUCUGGGUUUUUAAAAGAUUAUUUAUUUAUUUAUUUAUUUAUUUAUUUAUUUAUUUGAGGGAGAGAGAGAGAGCGAGCUUGCAUGAGCUGGGGAAAGGGCAGAGGGAGAAGCAGACUCCCUGCUGAAGCAGAGUGCCUGACCUGGAGCUUGAUCCCAGGACCCCGGGAUCAUGACCUGAGCCAAAGGCAGAUGCUUAACCAACUAAGCCACCUAGGUGCCCCCAAACCUUCUGUUUUAAUAGAAAUAACACUUGGGUGGAAAAAGCACCUUAACUUUUGCUCAUUUUUUGUGUAUGCUUCUUAUUCAGAAAGUCUGGCCAUUGGGACCAUGUCUCUAGCUUAAAUGCCAUUAUUAACCUGCUAGAAGUUACUCACAUUUCAGGUAGGAAACCCAGAAAGUAAACUGUGUAUAAACUCUGUUAAACCCAGCCUAUGGUGUGGCCAGUAUUAGUCACUUAAUGUUAAUGUCUAAGACUUUAUUGAGGAUUAUUUCAUCAGAUCAAGUGUGCUGCGAGAUAUCCAGGCAACCUGGAAGCAGUUGGCACAUGUGGGGUAGGAAGAAGAGACGCUGAAAAUAAGCAAAUCCUUUGUAAUUUUGCUCAGUGCAGGCCUUCUCCCAAUAUCCAAAGGAAUUGUAAUUUGUAACUCUCAUGGCACCAAAGAACAAGCCAUGUAUCUUCUUCUUUAUGAGGGGGUUGCCAUGAACAGCAGGUCAAGAAGUACAGGUGACCCUGACUUGUCAUUCUGCCUCUACUCUUCAGCUGAAGAAUGAAGUAUGUUGGGGAAGAGCAUGCAGAGGAAAAGAUCAAGUGUUCUCAUUUUUAUUUUCAAGUUUAAGCUGUUUUAGGGUCAUCAUCUAACCUUUAUGGAACCUUCCCAUAAAGUAGAGAGGGCCUAAAUUAGAUGAGCAGCUGCAGGUUCUAGACAGAGGAGAGGUCAUUACUUGGGAACUGGGCCCAUUUCCUAGUCUGCCACAUGACCUCAUGGCCCAGGAGUCCCCUGAGUCAUCUCUUUACCACUCAGUUGGCAAAUGCCUAUUGUCUGCUCUGUGUGUUUGGCAAUGUGCCAUAAUCUUGUGAAAACAGUUUGGGGAUUUUUGCACUCUUUCUGUAUCAGUCUGCUCUAGCUGCCAUAAUAAAAUACUACAAACUAGGCUUAAAUGACAGAAAUUUGUUUUCUCGAAGUUCCGGAAGCUGAAUCUAAGAUAAGGUGCCAUUAGGGUUGGUUUCUGUUGAGACCUUUCCCUCCUGGCUUGUAGACAGUCACUAUCCUGCUGUGUCCCCACAUGGCCUCUCUCCUGUGCACAUGUGGAAAGAGAGAUCUACCGUGUCUCUUCCUCUUCUUAUAAAAACACUAGUUCUAUCAGAUUAGGGUCCUACCCUUACAACCUCAUUUAACUUUAAUUGCCUUUCCAAAGGCCUAAUCUCCAAAUAGUCAUAUUGGGGGUUAGAGCUUCAACAAAUGAAUUCUGGGGGACACAAUCUGAUCUGUAACAGUUCACUUCUGGAAUUUUAAGAUUUUUAUUAGAAGUUUGAAUCACAAACAUAUUUGGUCUAAGUGAGAUUUUAUCUAUUGGAUUACACAUCUACCCUCACCUAAAGUAUUUGAGAUGACUGGGCAGACUAGAUUUAAGGACUCUUAUCCUUCCAAAUAAUUGGGUGUAAGCAAUGAGAUGGAUCCACACAGUUAUCACACCUAUAGGGCCAGACAUAACUUAUAGGGUAGAGAGUCAUUUCCACAGUCCUGCCAGAGAUUGUGUAUGCUCCCAGCAUGGCACCCUGCACACAGUAGGCACUCCAUUCAAAUGGGCUGAGUGAAUAAAUGAACAAAUAAGUGAACAAUGAUGAUUUCCACUGAAUAUGGGAAACGUCAGAGAUAGAGGGUUUUAGUAAAAGGAGGCUGCCUAUCUCCCUUCUGUCUGUCAUUCACACAAUUCUGAGUUUGAGUCUUGAGCAUCUUACCUUUAGCUCUGGGUUUAUUUUACUUCAUGUGCUUCAGGAAGGGCAGGGCUCCCUCCAAGUCUUUGUGAAGUGAGCCUUAGAUAAACUGCAGAGGUGUGAAAAGCACCUGUCUAAGAAGAUCUAUAUGAUGUCUCCUGUAGGUCUUUAAUCUGGUUCCUCCAGGGUGCGUGGCAUUGGCGGUUCAUGGAGGUUCAAUCAAAUGCAGACAGGUGGGAAUGGAUUUCUUCUUUACGCAGCUGGCUAGAUGGUGAAUCUCUUUCUUUUUUUUCUUUUGCUUCGCAAUGCUCACAAACUUAUCUUGAGCUCUAAGAUGGCUGGGACUCCAAAGGAUCUGAACUACUGCCGUCUGAUAACCAAGGAGAAUGUUAUUGUAAAAAAAAAAAAAAAAAA